UACGGAGGAUGCGAGCGUUAUCCGGAUUUACUGGGCGUAAAGGGAGCGCAGGCGGCGCGCCAAGUCUGAUGUGAAACCCCGGGGCUCAACCCCGGGCAUGCAUUGGAAACUGGCGGGCUGGAGUGCCGGAGAGGUAAGCGGAAUUCCUAGUGUAGCGGUGAAAUGCGUAGAUAUUAGGAGGAACACCAGUGGCGAAGGCGGCUUACUGGACGGCAACUGACGCUGAGGCUCGAAAGCGUGGGGAGCAAACAGG
Molecule: ribosomal RNA, 253 nt
Filed under: uncultured bacterium
Lineage: Bacteria
Description: partial 16S ribosomal RNA
Rfam family: Bacterial small subunit ribosomal RNA
Source: RNAcentral